Molecule: ribosomal RNA, 469 nt
Filed under: Salmonella enterica subsp. enterica serovar Weltevreden
Lineage: Bacteria; Pseudomonadati; Pseudomonadota; Gammaproteobacteria; Enterobacterales; Enterobacteriaceae
Description: partial 23S ribosomal RNA
Rfam family: Bacterial large subunit ribosomal RNA
Source: RNAcentral
AGUGCGAAUGCUGACAUAAGUAACGAUAAAGCGGGUGAAAAGCCCGCUCGCCGGAAGACCAAGGGUUCCUGUCCAACGUUAAUCGGGGCAGGGUGAGUCGACCCCUAAGGCGAGGCCGAAAGGCGUAGUCGAUGGGAAACGGGUUAAUAUUCCCGUACUUGGUGUUACUGCGAAGGGGGGACGGAGAAGGCUAUGUUGGCCGGGCGACGGUUGUCCCGGUUUAAGCGUGUAGGUGUGUGUUCCAGGUAAAUCCGGUUCACUUUAACACUGAGGCGUGACGACGAGGCACUACGGUGCUGAAGCAACAAAUGCCCUGCUUCCAGGAAAAGCCUCUAAGCAUCAGGUAACAUCAAAUCGUACCCCAAACCGACACAGGUGGUCAGGUAGAGAAUACCAAGGCGCUUGAGAGAACUCGGGUGAAGGAACUAGGCAAAAUGGUGCCGUAACUUCGGGAGAAGGCACGCUGACA